CUUACAGCCACUGACAGGGAUCGACGUGGCGCGAGGAGAGCGACAUAAUGGGUCAAAGUAGGGGCUGAAUGUAAUUUAACAGUUGACGGUGUUAUGGGUCGGAACGUCGUAUGUAAUUUAACCGGAAUCCGUGUUAAUCGGCGCUGUAAACGGCAGCAACAAGCAAAAGGCACGAUGCAAAAGACAUGGAAAAGAGUUCGCGAUGCGACUCCAAGCAUUACUGGAAGUUCAUGCAGUUCAGACGAGUUCGCUGUGGAUGUAACUAAUGAGGACCACAUCCUAUCGAGUUAAGAUGGAGUACGUCAUUAACCAAUGAAGCAGAAUAUAUUAGCAUCAUCUGAAGUGGAC
Long non-coding RNA from Rosa chinensis, 348 nucleotides. RefSeq lists it as uncharacterized. The transcript has 3 exons. The record is from RefSeq and is a predicted model, not a curated record. Lineage: Eukaryota; Viridiplantae; Streptophyta; Magnoliopsida; Rosales; Rosaceae.